UUAAAUUCCUAAAAAUUUGUGCAAGUUAUUCUAGAAUUAUAACAUUCCCUCGGAAAAGUGUGAAGAAAAAUACGUUUAAAAAAUCGUUUCAAAACGCUUCCAAGGAAAAAAUACAUUUUUUUCUUUUUUUAUUGAAUUAAAAGGAUAUUAUUAAGAUACACAUAUGUAGUUAUACACUGAUGACUUCCUUACAACAAAAUUAAUAAACCAAUUUACAUUUUAAUUGUGCGUAAACAUUGUUAAACGAAAUUUAGUACAACACAGUGAAGGCAGCUCCUUCACUUUCAUACAGAUCGUCUCAAAUGUAGGAAAUAACCCACAAAUCGAACAAUUAAUUAGAGAAAUCUGAUUGCUUCCAACCAGUGGCCGACGACUCAUCAUCGACAGGAAUUUCAGCCUCCGAGUAAACACACCGCAGAACAAACACUUUUUACACAACUAUUACUUUCGUCCAAAUUUGAAAGGCUCAUCUCUAGGUCGCAAAAGUGAAACGGGUGUUUAUGGACGUACACAAUUACUUAAUAGAAAAUUAAUUGCCCGAAAGCUCGGAAUUCCUUGGUAAUUAAAAAUGCACAAACUGAACGGGUUUUUGAUUUCCCGCGGUGAAAAUUUGAGUUAUUGUCGUUCGAAGUGCAGACGCGAUGAGUCGUUUCAAUUUCCUUUUCGUUCUGUUUAUGGUCGCGCUGGCGGAGAGCUCGCUGGUUGCGAGGUUCACGUCCAAUCCGUUUUUCCUGCGCCAUUUCAGCGGGGUUUAUGAGAGGCCAGCAUAUGUGCCAAUUUUGUCAAAUUCAGAAAUUCCGCUCUCUUCAAACGACAAUGAAGAAACAGAUCAGGAAGAAAACACGUUCGAGCCAACUGUCUUCAAUAGUGAAGAAAGCAGUGAAGAAGUUAGUGACAACACGGAACCAGUCAUACCAAUUUUUAAAAUCCUGCCACUGUACGAAAAAACUCAAGUUUUUCGAAAAAUUGAACCAAAAAUAACAAGUCGUGCCAACCAAAUAGCAGUGACUUAUUAUUUCAACAGUUUGCCACACUUUGAAAGCUCACACGUUUUCCGCACCGUGGUGGCCAGAAAUGAAGAACUUGGGGCUAAUUUUCGCAUUUUGCCUCACUUUGACGCCGCUCGUUUCGCAAGAAGAAGACUAGUUAGAGUAGUGAAGAAGAAAAAAGUGGAAUUUGGGCAAAGGCUCCGACCUCGCAUUGAGGAUUUUUCUUCAAUGCAAAAUUCGUUGUAACAAUAAUUUAAGUAAA
Tribolium castaneum (red flour beetle) is the source of this 1251-nucleotide RNA transcript. RefSeq lists it as uncharacterized. The record is from RefSeq and is a predicted model, not a curated record. The transcript is spliced from 3 exons. Lineage: Eukaryota; Metazoa; Arthropoda; Insecta; Coleoptera; Tenebrionidae.